GCUGACACGCUGUCCUCUGGCGACCUGUGUCGCUGGAGAGGUUGGGCCUCUGGAUGCGUGCGGGACUCUGGCCCACCGCUGACCCGGCUAGCCGGCCCUGCUCCCGCUCGAGCCGCCUGCUGCUGGGGCCCGCGGGCCUGCUGCUCUCUCGCGCGUCCGAGCGUCCCGACUCCCGGUGCCGGCCCGGGUCCGGGUCUCUGACCCACCCGGGGGCGGCGGGGAAGGCGGCGAGGGCUACCCUGCCCCCGUGCGCUCUCCGCCGCGGGCACCCGGGGCGGCCGUGACAACCCCACCCCCGUCGGCUCCGUGCCGUGCGUGUCAGGCGUCCUCGUCUCCGCUGGGUUGUCCGCCGCCCCUUCCCCGGAGCGGGGGACGGCCGGGGCCGAUCGGCUCGCUCGCCGGCCGGCUGGCCGACUCCCCGCUCCCGGGGGCUCUUCCGUGAUCGAUGUGGUGACGUCACGCUCUCCCGGGCCGGAUCCGAGCCGCGACGGGCGAGGGGCGGACAUUCGUGGCGAAUGGGACCGUUCUUCUCGCCCCGCCCGCGGGGGCCCCUUGCCUCUCCUCCGUCCGCCUGCCGGUGGUGCGUUGGGAAGGCGUGGGGUGCGGAACCCGGCCUGACCUGGCUGUCCCGUCCCCGCUCUCCGCUUCGCGGGGUGGGUCGGCGGGGUCCUCUGACGCGGCGGGCAUCCCUCGCUCUCGCCUCCCGCGGUCGUCGACUUGCGGGCGGGCCCCCUCCGCGGCGGUGGGGGUGCCGUCCCGCCGGCCCGUCGUGCUGCCCUCUCGGGGGGUUUCGCGCGAGCGUUGGCUCCGCCCGGGCCUUUGCGGUGCUCCUGGAGCGCUCCGGGUUGUCCCUGAGGUGCCCGAGGCCGAGCGGUGGUGUGUCGCUCCCACCCCCGGCGUCCCCUCCUCCGGUGUCCGCGCGUGGGUCCCGAGGGGAGCCCGUCGGCGUGGGGUUCGAGGCGGUCGAGUGAGAUGAGAUGCGCGCCCCUCCCGCGCGGGGAAGGGCGCCGCCUGGUCCGGCGAGCGCACGUCCCGUGCUCCCCUCUGGUGGGUGCGCGAGGGCCGUGUGAGCGAUCGCGGCGGGCUCGGGCCGGUGACGCGUGCGCCGGCCGGCCGCCGAGGGGCUGCCGUUCUGCCUCCGACCGGUCGCGUGCGUGGCUUUGCCUCGGAAGCGACGCAGGAGGCGGGUGGACGGGGGGGGCCUUGUGAGCCUGCCGGGCCCCCGCCCUGACCGCGAACGCUCGAGGUCGCCGCAGGCGCGCUUCUCCUCGUACCGCAGGCCCCCUCCCUUCGCCGGGCGUCCCCGAGCGCCUCUGCGGGCCCGACGAGGGGCGACUGGCGGGUGGGGAGUGUGACCCACCCUCGGUGAGAAAGCCUUCUCUAGCGAUCUGAGAGAGGUGUGCCUUGGGGUGCCGGAUCUCCCGGCCUGCCGCCUCUGUCUCCUUCUGCCUUUACGGUAGCGCUGUCGUAGCGACUCGCGCGCAGAGGACCCUCCUCCUUUUCCUCCUCGACGGGUUGAGGUUGGGGAGAGCGAGGGUUCCGCCGGCCACCGCGGUGGUGGCCGAGCGCGGCUCGUCGCCUGCAGUGUGGCCCGCGCCUCCCCCUUCCGAGUCGGGGGAGGAUCCCGCCGGGCCGGGCCCGGCGUCCCAGCGGGUUGGGACGCGGCCGCCGCGAGCGGUGGGUGUGCGCGGCCUUCCGUCCGGUGCGUGACCCCCACCUCGGCCGCGAGUCGGCUCUCCGCCCGCUCCCGUGCCGAGUCGCGAGCGGUGCCGACGACCGCGUGCGCGUGGGCGCGGGGUUGGGCCGCCUGGUCCCGGGAAAGCGUCCCACGCUUGGGGACGCGCCGGUCUCCCGGAGCGGGACCGGGUCGGAGGCUGGACGAGAAUGACGAGCGAUGGAUGCGGCCCUGGCGUCGGGUUGGUGGCUGUGGUCGCUUCGGGGCCCCCGGUGGCGGGACCCGGGGCUCGUGAGGCGGGUCUCGGUGGGUGCCGAGGGCCGUCCGGCGUCCCAGGCGGGGCGCCGCGGGACCGCCCUCGUGUCGGUGGUGGUGGGAUCCCGCGGCCGUGUUUUCCUGGUGGCCCGGCCGUGCCCGAGGUUUCUCCCGCCGAGCCGCCGCUCUGCGGGCUCCCGGGUGCCCUCGCCCUCGCGUUCCCCGGCCCUUGGCUCUCUGUGCGCCCCUUCCCCGCCCGCCGCCCGCCGAUCCUCUCCCCUCCCCGAGCGGCUCGCCGGCUCGACGUCGGUGGUGGCCUCGUCUGGGACCGAACCCGGCACCGCCUCGGGGGGCGCCGCCGCCGGCCGCUGGUCGGCCCGGUGUCCCCGUCCCCCGGCGUGCGCCUUCGGGACCGGGUCGGCGGCCCCCCCGGCGUUGGGCCCCGGUGGGCUCCCGGAGAGGGGUUUUUUGAGGGGUCGGCCUGUGGCGCGUGCGGGGGAGAGAGGGUUCCGGGGGGCUGGCCGCGACUGCGGCGGCGGUGUGGGGGAGCCGCGCGGAUCGCCGAAGGUCGAGUCGGCCGCUCCGGGUGCCGCGCGGGGGCCGCCUUCGCGCUCGGAGGCUGCGGGCGGUGAGACCCCCCGCGUGUGUCCCGGCCGCGGUCGGCUGCGCCCGAGGGGUCCCGCGGCGUCCCCUUCCCCGCCGGCCGCCUUUCUCGAGCCUUCUCCUUCGCCUCGGCCUCGCCCGGGGUCUCGUCGUCUUCUCCCGGCCCGGUCUUCCGAAUCGGUCCGGCGCGCCCCCGGGUGCGCCUCGCUUCCCGGGCCUGCCGCGGCCCUUCCCCGAGGCGUCCGUCCCGGGCGUCGGCGUCGGGGAGAGCCCGUCCUCCCCGCGUGGUGUUGCCCCGUUCGGCGCGCGCGUGCGCCCGAGCGCGGCCCGGUGGUCCCUCCCGGACAGGCGUCGGUGCGACGUGUGGCGCGGGUCGACCUCCGCCUCGCCGGUCGCUCGCCCCUUUCCCCGGGUCGGGGGGGGGGCCCGGGCCGGGGCCUCGGCCCCGGUCGCGGUCCCUCGUCCCGGGCGGGGGCGGGCGCGCCGGCCGGCUUCGGUCGCCCUCCCUCGGCCGUCGUGUGGCGUGUGCCACCCCUGCUCCCGCGCCCGCCUGGGCGGGGGCCCGGCGCCGGGCUUCGGCCGGGCCCCGGGCCCUCGACCCGACCGGCGCGCGGGCGCUGCGGCCGCNNNNNNNNNNNNNNNNNNNNNNNNNNNNNNNNNNNNNNNNCUCGCUCGCCGCCCGAACGUCGGGGCCGCCCCGNNNNNNNNNNNNNNNNNNNNNNNNNNNNNNNNNNNNNNNNNGGGCGCGCGCNCGGCCGCCGGUCCCUCGCGGCUGCCGGGCGCGGGUCGGGCGGUCCGCCUCGUCGCGGGCGGGCGCGCGAAGGGUCCGCGGGGGUGGCUGCGUGUGCGUCUGCGGGGCGAGCCCGUCGGGGGGCGGCGGUCGCGUGUCGUCGCGCGGGCGGGUGGAUGGGGCGUCCGGUUCGCCGNNNCCCNNNNNNNNNNNNNGCCCCGCCGUCCGGCCCGCCGCCCCGCGCUCGCUCCCUCGCUCCCUCGCUCGCUCCCUCCCNNNNNGCCCCGCCGCCCGCCCGCCCGCCCGGCAGGCCGCGGCCCGUCCGUCCUCGCUUCCCGGGCGCCGGGCCCGUCCUCGCGAGGUCCCCCGGCGGCGGCGGCGGCGGCGCCGUCGUCGUCCUCGUCGUCGGGGCCUCGCCGCGCUCUACCCU
Molecule: unclassified non-coding RNA, 3693 nt
Filed under: Pongo abelii (Sumatran orangutan)
Lineage: Eukaryota; Metazoa; Chordata; Mammalia; Primates; Hominidae
Description: external transcribed spacer
Rfam family: mir-663 microRNA precursor family (bases 1996-2085)
Source: RNAcentral